This 438-nucleotide ribosomal RNA is filed under the name Chilina sp. ZSM Mol 20050474. Its description in RNAcentral is "partial 16S ribosomal RNA". It matches the Rfam family "Archaeal large subunit ribosomal RNA", at positions 1892 to 2651 of the family's 2987-position model. Lineage: Eukaryota; Metazoa; Mollusca; Gastropoda; Chilinidae. The record is from RNAcentral.
CUGUUUAUCAAAAACAUAGCCUUAAGUAUUUAUUUAAGGUAAGCCCUGCCCAGUGUAUAUUUAUUAACGGCCGCAGUACCCUGACUGUGCUAAGGUAGCGUAAUCAGUUGGCUUUUAAUUGGGGUCGAGAAUGAAUGGGUCAACGGGAAAAAGCUGUCUCCCUCUUACUUUCUUGAACUUACUUAUGGGGUGAAAAUUCCCCGGAACUGAAAAAAGACGAGAAGACCCUUAGAAUUUUAAAUACACAAGAACUUUGUUCCUGCCUUUUUUGUUGGGGCGACAGAGAAGCAAAGAACCUUCUUUCCAAAAAUUCCUCUUGACGACGUUAUUGUAAGAAAGAAAAAAUUACCUUAGGGAUAACAGCAUAAUUUAUUUAUAAGUUUGUGACCUCGAUGUUGGACUAGGAACCUAAUGACUAGCCGUCAAUGUGGAAUGUUC